This is a long non-coding RNA of Bombus pyrosoma, 3189 nucleotides long. RefSeq lists it as uncharacterized. The record is from RefSeq and is a predicted model, not a curated record. The transcript is spliced from 4 exons. NCBI's taxonomy places the organism in Eukaryota, Metazoa, Arthropoda, Insecta, Hymenoptera, Apidae.
GAAGAAAUAAGAACUAAUAAUAAAUUGAUAGAUGGCAAUAGAAUGAUGCAAUAGUAGAAUAUAAUGACACACAGAUAGAAGACACGUAAGGCAUAAGAUAUUGAUCUAAUUAGAUGUAUUAUAGUUUGUUCCCUGUCUGAUUUAUGGUUAUUGGGAAACUUUAUAAUUAGUUUUCUUUAAAGAUAUUAAUUAGCGUAUAAGAAUAGCAUCCUUUAAGAGUGAAAUCAUUUGAGAAAAGUCAGCGUUUUUCUCUUUGCUGUUCAAUGUAGAACGUCAUAGUUAGCUCUAGUACUUGCAUAAAACAUCAUAACAAAUUAAUUGCCGCCAAAAGGAUGCUGUUGAGAAUAAGUGGAUCAUUGGUUGGCACUGCUAGAAUAAAAUACUUGGAAAUAGAAGAUAUGACCAAUGAAAAUUAAAUAAAGUAGCAGAUACAGUUAUAGUCCAUAGAGAGGGAAAAGUGUUGUAUAAGUUAUAUGCUAAGUAUAAUGCAUUUUUAAUUCAAUAAAAAAAAUGAUCAGACUAUUAAUAAGGAUCUAAACAAGAAUAAUUAAGCUACUAAUAGUUGAACGAUGAACUUCUUUGUUUGUAAAGAUAGAUUACAGGGAAACAAUUUAUCGGCAUAGGAAAUGCGACAAAAUCCGGUUUUAUUUAACAUCUUCCGAAGCAGAUGGUCAGUUAAUGGUUCGUCAUGAAUAUCGUCAAGCUGACCUACAUACGCGGCACCAGGACAUGGAUCUUUCCUUGUGUUUGAUCAGCGAAUUACACUUUAAAUAUGCAACCGAGUUACAUUUGACGAAAGUUGAUGAAUUUCUCGCAUUGGAAUUCACCUUUCGUUACGAAAUCUCUUUGAUAUUCAUUAGCUGUCAAUUUCCACGUUUGCCACUCAGCUACGAACAAUCAACAACAUGUCGCACUUUCAAGCGUGUGACGUGUUCUAUGCUAAUUUUAUAAUGAUUCUGAGUGAAAUAAAAUUUGACGAUAUCGAUAGCGGUACGCAUAAUGGACGAUUAACUUUCAAGAGAAAAUUUGGGCAAAAUGUGAAAUGGAGGAUAGUUAUUAGCAAAAUUCAAUCUCUACUUUAAAGAUAAUGAUAUUUAGAUCACCUACAAAAGCAUUCCGAUCUACAAUCGCUGAAAAGAAUGUAUCGACAGAGAAAGAAAGAAAACAAUAUCGUAUCCUGUAUCCUUCUUUUUCAAGAGUACUCGAAAAAAGGACUAUCUAAAAGAGAUCCUCUCAUCGAUGAAAUUAAACCCAGUUCGAUUCGCGGAAACCUAUCUUUCUACGAGAAAAAAAAUAUCGGUGGAUGAUUCCAUCUGGCCAACUCGGUCGUUGAGACUGCAAAAGGAAGAACGAUUCUCGUGUCGCUUUUUCACGGAACAUACAUCUAUGGCUCGAGUCUAGCGAUCCAUCGGCCGAUCUGUGCAGGUGCACACACCAGAGAGAAGACAUUUUGCGUGCCUUCUCUUCCCUUUCUCUGUCUAGUACACGUACCACACGUAUGGCAAACGUGAGACGCAUAAUACGUUAGCCAUUUGAGAGGCAAGCGUCAUGAUCGCGAUUCUAUGGUUUCAUAUCGAAUAGUGUGAUUUUAUUAUCGCGAUUAAAUUAUUUAUCGUGAGGUUAAAUGUGAACUAUAAAUUAUUGGACAUAACCAAGGGUUGUAUUCGCAAAGAGAAUCGGACUUCUCAGGUCUUAGGAAUUAUUUAACUUUUUUUGUUCUAAAUAUAUAGAUAUUUAAUAAAUUUUCUGUUAUGUUUAUGUAAGAUGACUGUAUCAAACUCUAAUCCUCUUUUAAUUCAACUUGCGUAAGAAAUCAGUCAAAGAAAAUAUUUCCCUUCCUUCAAUGAAAAUUUCAGACUCUCUAAAAGCCCGAAGAAAUACGUUAGAAUGAAACAACAGACAAAAGGACGAUGUGUAACAGACUAGAAAAAAUGAACGUAGAAAGAAUAAAGAGAGGGAGAAGAAAAUAAAGGCAGAACUUGGUUGGCCGGCUACCUGAUCAUCCCGAGUCUGACGCCCUUUAACCGAGUUUAGGCCGACGGCAAGUAUUAUUAGCCAGAGAUCGCGUGCUUCCGUGUCCUUACCUCAUGAAACAAUGAGAUCGUCCGCGAAAGAUAUGCGCCAGAGCGUUCUACGUUCGCGGUAUAUCGAGCUCACGCGAGACUCUCUCUUUACCCAUAGAAAUCCAAUCAUCUUGAUAUUAUUCUUUCUCUUUUUAUAAUUCAUUUUUUCCUUCUUUAACUCUAUGUCUCUGUCUUUCUCUUUCUCCCUUGAGCUAGGCGAACCCGUUAUAGGUCUCCUUGAACUUGCUCUCCAACCAGAUGAUGAAUUAUCUCUAUACUGAACAAGACCAGAACGUGCCCAAGCUCCUACAGACCGGUCACAAAGACGAUUUUCAAUGGGGUCGUGAAGACGUAGGGAACUUAAGAUCGUGGAUUUUAACAGCUUAGUGUUGCAGGUUUCCCAAGCAGCGAAACCGCCUGAGGGUGUCUUUCGAUGGAGAUACAAUCACUGCGUAGCGUCAUGACGAGAAGAGAAUCCUUCGAUUCAACGAAGGAAAAAGGACGGCUCUUCUCUUUCACUAUCGACGAAUCAAGGCCCUUCGAUUUUACGCUAGCGACUCCUCCAAUCUUUAUACCGUGUGGCUGUGCGACCGCGUAACGCGUUCCCCGGGACGAUUAACCGUAUAGUUUGGUCAGUUAUGACCGACGCAGGAAUCACCGUAAUUACGUAAUCACGAAAUUGGCCUGCCCCUAAGGAACAGAAGGCAAAUUGAGACAAAUGGUAAAAGGAAUCAUGGCCACCAAGCCGACAAAGAUGCCGGGCAACGACGUCGCUGAACAUUUCUUCUUUCAACCGAAUUCUGGCCAACCUUUUUUCUGCUAAUUCGACAGAAGUACGACUUUUGAGCGUGAAGAAGCUGGGAUGUUAAUAAUAACGAGCUCUAAGUUUGACAGUAUUCUUAAGUUCAGUGAUAUGACUUUCACUAUCUUGAGAUUAUUAUUUGAGGGAAUAACUUGUAAUACUGAGAAUAUCGAUACUAUCGUAUUAUAUAUAUAUGACCAGAAAUAGGAUUCCUUAUGAGAUAUGUUUUAAAAUAACUGCUUUAACAUUCUCAUAGUAAUUAAAAAUUAUGUUCUUGUAUUUAUAGGAAGAAUUCAUUUCCUAUGCUUACGUUAAACUCUUGUA